AGGUGUCUUCAGGGCAGGGUGAGAUUCCCGACCGGCGGUGAUAAAGGAGACUUUUUUUCUCUAAAACGAGGCAGCGAGUUGUAGGCUAUACUAGAGUAUGCCAAGACGAGCUAAGGAAGUGACAGAAAAAAAGAGAUUCUUUGAAGUCCGCGAGCGAAAGCUGAUGUGGUGCAAUUCCACAACCGACAGUAAAGUCUGGAUGGGAGGAGACGAAG
Molecule: non-coding RNA, 215 nt
Filed under: Streptococcus sp.
Lineage: Bacteria; Bacillati; Bacillota; Bacilli; Lactobacillales; Streptococcaceae
Also listed under: 1 other name
Description: FMN sequence
Rfam family: FMN riboswitch aptamer (RFN element)
About the family: The RFN element is a highly conserved domain that is found frequently in the 5'-untranslated regions of prokaryotic mRNAs that encode for flavin mononucleotide (FMN) biosynthesis and transport proteins.
Source: RNAcentral